Molecule: ribosomal RNA, 468 nt
Filed under: uncultured bacterium
Lineage: Bacteria
Description: partial 16S ribosomal RNA
Rfam family: Bacterial small subunit ribosomal RNA
Source: RNAcentral
GACGAACGCUGGCGGCGUGCUUAACACAUGCAAGUCGAACGGAAAGGCCCUGCUUUUGUGGGGUGCUCGAGUGGCGAACGGGUGAGUAACACGUGAGUAACCUGCCCUUGACUUUGGGAUAACUUCAGGAAACUGGGGCUAAUACCGGAUAGGAGCUCCUGCUGCAUGGUGGGGGUUGGAAAGUUUCGGCGGUAGGGGAUGGACUCGCGGCUUAUCAGCUUGUUGGUGGGGUAGUGGCUUACCAAGGCUUUGACGGGGAGCCGGCCUGAGAGGGUGACCGGCCACAUUGGGACUGAGAUACGGCGCAGACUCCUACGGGAGACAGCAGUGGGGAAUAUUGCACAGUAAGCGGAAGCCUGAUGCAGCAACGCCGCGUGCGGAAAGAAGGCCUUCGGGUUGUAAACCGCUUUCGCCUAUGACGAAGCGUGAGUGACGGUAAUGGGUAAAGAAGCACCGGCUAACUACGUG